CGCGCACGCCUCACCUCGGAUGCCUGCUCACCCUCAACUUUGCAAAGCUCAAAUAGAGGCGCUCGCAGGGGAGGAGGAGUCAGCCACGCCGAUCCUCCAUUCACACAACCUCCGCCGAGGGGCUGCCCACGGCCCGCUCUGCUGAACCCAGCCGGACCAGACGCGCGGGGGGGAGGGGAGACACAGGAGAGCCGGGGAUGGAGGGGGAGAUGUGGCUGUGGGAGAAUAUAUCUCCCCUACACACCACUCCCACCCUUCUUGUGGUGCAAGCGCCACUAAAUCUCACCCUAACGUUCCUCCGCUUUAGGAGAGACUUGCAGCACUGUUAGAGGGAUCCAGGUGGCCAGCCCGGAGCCUCUUUCCUCCCCAGCCUCCUGGACAGCGGGUCCUCAGCGUCCAUCCCGGGGGCGGCGGCCGGAGGGCCCCCGAGGGGACCUUACACAUUAUCCCCGGGCCGUCCUUCCUCCCAGGAGACACGGCAGGGGUGGGGUCGGCCCCGGCAGCGGGAGCUGCCUUGAUUCUGGCGGGCCAGGAGCCCACCUAGACCGACUGCCCAGCCAGGAAGCGCCGGGGCUGGUGGCAGAGCCCCGCGGGACUCGGCGGUACCUGCCGCGGGAAGGACGCGCUCUCUCCGAAGGCAAGGAGGGGAAUCCUGCCUCCCUCCUGCAGAACUACGAAUGAAUAAUCACCCGGGGGCGGGGGAUGCUGCUUCUACAAGCAGGAGUGGGGCAGCUGCCGGCUCACGGUACCCGCGGAGUCCGCGGGGUCGCACCUGUCCCUUGCCCAUUGUCACCGGCCGCUAUUAGAACCGCGGCACCGCAAACGCCGCCGGGGCCACCGCCCGCAGACGCCGCCGCGGCGCUCAGCCCGCACCCUCACGGUCCUCGGCAGCGACAGCAGCGACAGAGCCGCCAAGGUUCACCUGCCGCACGACACUCCGAGCCCCCCGUCUCCCGGUGUACACCUCGGGAUCUCCUUUCCCUCGCGGCACCAAAGGUUACCGUAAACAUCGCCAACCUUGAAGCGAUGUUUUAAGAUUCAAAGGUUUACAGAACGUGCCACUUCAGAGUCCACGGCAAACUGAAGCACCCUCGGACGGCGCUUGUGCAGGCAGCCCGUGCCCGUGCAGGGGGAUCCCGCUGACCUUGCUGACACCGCGGGCUCCGGCUCCCGCUCUUCCUCCC
Molecule: long non-coding RNA, 1184 nt
Organism: Prinia subflava (tawny-flanked prinia)
Lineage: Eukaryota; Metazoa; Chordata; Aves; Passeriformes; Cisticolidae
Exons: 3
Source: RefSeq, a predicted model, not a curated record